Molecule: ribosomal RNA, 469 nt
Filed under: uncultured bacterium
Lineage: Bacteria
Description: partial 16S ribosomal RNA
Rfam family: Bacterial small subunit ribosomal RNA
Source: RNAcentral
GACGAACGCUGGCGGCGUGCUUAACACAUGCAAGUCGAACGGAAAGGCCCUGCUUGCAGGGUGCUCGAGUGGCGAACGGGUGAGUAACACGUGGGUGAUCUGCCCCUUACUUUUGGAUAAGCCUGGGAAACUGGGUCUAAUACUGGAUAGGACCAUGCUGUAGGUGGUGUGGUGGAAAGAUUAGUUUCGGUGAGGGAUGAGCUCGCGGCCUAUCAGCUUGUUGGUGGGGUAAUGGCCUACCAAGGCGUCGACGGGUAGCCGGCCUGAGAGGGUGGACGGCGACAUUGGUAGGGAGAUAAGGCGCAGACUCCUACGGGAGGCAGCAGUGGGGGAUAAUGUAGAAUGGGGGGAAGACGGAUGAAGCAACGCCGCGGGGGGGAUGACGGCGUUCGGGUUGUAAACUACUUCCAGCCAUGACGAAGCCCUUGUGGUGACGGUAGUGGUAGAAGAAGCACCGGCUAACUACGUG